Molecule: ribosomal RNA, 242 nt
Filed under: uncultured Staphylococcus sp.
Lineage: Bacteria; Bacillati; Bacillota; Bacilli; Caryophanales; Staphylococcaceae
Description: partial 16S ribosomal RNA
Rfam family: Bacterial small subunit ribosomal RNA
Source: RNAcentral
GCGGACGGGUGAGUAACACGUGGAUAACCUACCUAUAAGACUGGGAUAACUUCGGGAAACCGGAGCUAAUACCGGAUAACAUGUUGAACCGCAUGGUUCAACAGUGAAAGACGGUCUUGCUGUCACUUAUAGAUGGAUCCGCGCCGCAUUAGCUAGUUGGUAAGGUAACGGCUUACCAAGGCAACGAUGCGUAGCCGACCUGAGAGGGUGAUCGGCCACACUGGAACUGAGACACGGUCCAG